Molecule: ribosomal RNA, 330 nt
Filed under: uncultured eukaryote
Lineage: Eukaryota
Description: partial 18S ribosomal RNA
Rfam family: Eukaryotic small subunit ribosomal RNA
Source: RNAcentral
CCCUUAGAUGUCCGGGGCCGCACGCGCGCUACACUGAAGGAAUCAGCGUGGCUUUCUCCCUGACCCGAAAGGGUUGGGAAACCCGUUGAAUCUCCUUCGUGAUAGGGAUUGGGGCUUGAAAUUGUUCCCCAUGAACGAGGAAUUCCCAGUAAGCGCGAGUCAUAAGCUCGCGUUGAUUACGUCCCUGCCCUUUGUACACACCGCCCGUCGCUACUACCGAUUGAACGGUUUAGUGAGAUUUCCGGAUCGGCGUUGGGGAGCCGGCAACGGCACCCCUUGGCUGAGAAGUUACUCAAACUUGGUCAUUUAGAGGAAGUAAAAGUCAUAACA